AUUGAACGCUGGCGGCAUGCUUUACACAUGCAAGUCGAACGGCAGCGCGGGCUUCGGCCUGGCGGCGAGUGGCGAACGGGUGAGUAAUGCAUUGGAACGUGCCCAGUAGUGGGGGAUAGCCCGGCGAAAGCCGGAUUAAUACCGCAUACGACCUGAGGGUGAAAGCGGGGGACCGAAAGGCCUCGCGCUAUUGGAGCGGCCGAUGUCGGUUUAGCUAGUUGGUGGGGUAAAGGCUUACCAAGGCGACGAUCCGUAGCUGGUCUGAGAGGACGACCAGCCACACUGGGACUGAGACACGGCCCAGACUCCUACGGGAGGCAGCAGUGGGGAAUUUUGGACAAUGGGGGCAACCCUGAUCCAGCCAUGCCGCGUGCGGGAAGAAGGCCUUCGGGUUGUAAACCGCUUUUGUUCGGGAAGAAAUCCUCUGGGCUAAUACCCCGGGGGGAUGACGGUACCGGAAGAAUAAGCACCGGCUAACUACGUG
RNAcentral lists this ribosomal RNA (484 nucleotides) under uncultured bacterium. RNAcentral describes it as "partial 16S ribosomal RNA". It matches the Rfam family "Bacterial small subunit ribosomal RNA", at positions 28 to 507 of the family's 1533-position model. The record is from RNAcentral.